Molecule: ribosomal RNA, 119 nt
Organism: Pteropus vampyrus (large flying fox)
Lineage: Eukaryota; Metazoa; Chordata; Mammalia; Chiroptera; Pteropodidae
Source: Ensembl
GUCAAUGGCCAUGCCAACCUGAACGUGCCUGAUUCUGUCUGAUCUUGGAAGCUAAGCAGGGUCAGGCCUGGUUAGUACUUGGAUGGGAGACCACCUAGAAAUACCAGAUGCUGUAGGUG